Molecule: long non-coding RNA, 679 nt
Filed under: Mus musculus (house mouse)
Lineage: Eukaryota; Metazoa; Chordata; Mammalia; Rodentia; Muridae
Description: long non-coding RNA chr12:103407297-103407976
Source: RNAcentral
AGGAUAUUUAGGGAUGCCUGUGUACUGUAUUCAAGUCCACAGGACUCCCCAAAUCGAGCAUCGGAAGCAGGCCCGUGAACACCUGUCUCAACAUCCAGGCUAAGCUGUGCUUCCCUAGGCCUGAGAGAGUUACUCAGCCAGACUGACUGUGAGCUGGGCAGCAUGGACCAGUGUUCCUGCACUGCAUGUACACUAGGCCCCAAUGCAAGCCUGGAGACCUCCAGCCCUGGAGCUCUGCAGCACAAGUGUGGCCAGCACUGCAAGGCGGGUAGCCCAGAGCACUGAGCUCUGUUCUUCAGAGAAUACAAAGCCAUACCCCAGGAUGGACAAAGGGCAGUUCAGACGGAAAAGUCCGUUUUUCAAAAACGCUAGGACCGCAGACUCGUGUCCAGUAUCCUCUCUCUCGACCCUGCAGGUUUGUGACAGCUUUGUGAGUUGAGAGGGGUCAGCAAGAUCUUCCCUGUCCAUCUUCCAGGACAGUAAAGUGCAGAGGAUAGCGUGACAGAGCAAGGGAGCUGGUAUUGUAUGCUGUGGAGAAGGACAGGGACAUGCUGAAGACCUGACAGAAUUGUGAUGGACUCAUGCCAGGGGCCCAUGACACCAUUUCCCCUAUCAAGGAAACAGCAUUCUGUCUGCCCAAGGAAAAUCUCAGUCAACGAUAAAACACUGCAACACCCUC